AAGACCUCAAAUCAGGUGGGACUACCCGCUGAACUUAAGCAUAUCAAUAAGCGGAGGAAAAGAAACUAACAAGGAUUCCCCCAGUAACGGCGAGUGAAGAGGGAAAAGCCCAAAUUUGUAAUCUGGCUCUUUUAGAGUCCGAGUUGUAAUUUUGAGAACUGUUUUCUGUGCUGGACCAUGUUUAAGUCUGUUGAAAAACAGCAUCAUUGAGGGUGAUAAUCCCGUUCAUGAUAUGGACUACCAGUGCUAUAUGAUACAGUCUCUAAGAGUCGAGUUGUUUGGGAAUGCAGCUCAAAGUGGGUGGUAAAUUCCAUCUAAGGCUAAAUAUAGGUGAGAGACCGAUAGCAAACAAGUACCGUGAGGGAAAGAUGAAAAGAACUUUGGAAAGAGAGUUAACAGUACGUGAAAUUGCUGAAAGGGAAACAAUUGAAGUUAGCCUUGUUAUUUCCAGUUCAACCCUUUUAGGGUGUAUUCUGGUAAUUAACGACCAACAUCAGUCUUUGAGUGCUGGAUAAGGGUUUUGGAAAUGUAGCAGUCUAGGCUGUGUUAUAGUCCAUUACUUUGAUACAGUGCUUAGGAUUGAGGAUCGCAGUAAGCCAAUCUUGGUGGAUCAA
Molecule: ribosomal RNA, 614 nt
Filed under: Neophysopella tropicalis
Lineage: Eukaryota; Fungi; Basidiomycota; Pucciniomycetes; Pucciniales; Crossopsoraceae
Description: partial 28S ribosomal RNA
Rfam family: Eukaryotic large subunit ribosomal RNA
Source: RNAcentral